UUCUUAUGACUACAAAUAUGCCAAACUAACUUCCCAAUGACUGCUUUAUUCCAACUAAUAAGGUGCCUGAACCCCAAUCCCAACAUUUGCCUUAGGAGUACAAACUGAAGCCCAUUUCACAAAGCCCUUUUUUUCACCAUCAGGCUUGCCAUUCUGUAAAAAAAUUCUACACACUGAAUUAAUCAUGUGCAUGAUGGAUUGAGGGAGGAGAAAGAUUUGCACCCAGUAGAUAUUUAUGCUAAUAAGAACAAAGUUUAUAAGCUGUGCUCUUCCUAGAAAGGAAAAAGGUUCCUUGUACUCCAUGUUUUGAUCCUAGUGAUCAAUUUUUCAACCAAUAUCUCGCAUUUUGCCUCCUUUAAUUUGUAGAUCUAAUUGGAACACCCAAAUAUCGAAAAGGCGGAUCUUCAGCUUUAAACCCUGACAUCAAAGUAUGUCUACUAACUUCCUGUUCCUCCAUGGCAGUAGUAUAUAUUUCAAUUUUUUUUGUUUGCUUGUAGGCUACUUGAUUUAGUAAAAAGCUUGAUAGCUUGCAGCAACAAAUAAGCAAACUUAACUUCUCCUUUACAAAAGAGAAGUAAAUCAUCUGCAAAGCACAUAUGAUUUACAUUCAAACUAGCACAUCCAAUGAAAUCCUUGAAUUCAUCCAUUUCUACAAUGUAUGUGAGGAUUCUAGUUAGAUGAUCCAUGCACAAAAUAAAUAUUAGGGGAGACAUUGGAUCCCCUUGUCCAACCCUUCUUUUUGCUUCAAAAAAUCCUUCAGUUGCUCCAUUGAUAAGAAGUGUAAAUUUAGGGGUAGUUAUGCAUUCCAUGGCCCGGUUUAUGAAAUGAGUAGGGAAAUUCGAGGCUGUUAAAAGUUGACAAAUAAAAUCCCACUCAAUGGAAUCAUAUGCGUUUCUAAUAUCCAAUUUCAUCAAAAUGCCGGUCACCUUAUUAUUCUUCCUUCCAAAACGUUUCACCAGGUCUUGACACAAAAAGAUAUUGCUAAUGAUGCUCCUACCAUUUAUGAAAGCACCUUGAUUAUGUGAGACUAGCUCAGGUAGGAUGUUGCUCCAUCUAGUGCAUAUUAGCUUGGUGAUGACCUUGUACAAGACUGAACAUCAGGCAAUAGGUGUAUAAUCACCAAAUGCUGCAGGGCUGGUGAUUUUAGGGAUUUAGGUUAUUGCAGUCACAUUUAUUUCUUUCAAGAUUUUUCCACUCUGAAAAAACUCCUGAAUUGCCUUCACUAUAUCUCCUCCUACUAUGCUCCAGCUUUUCUUGAUGAAACGGCUUGUGAAACCAUCCAAGCCAGGUGAUUUAUCAUCUGGAAAAGAGAAUAAUACAUAUUUAAUCUCUUCAGUAUUAAAGUUCAACUUCAGCAAGGCUUGUUGGUCAUCAUUCAGGAACUUUCCUUUGGCUAUGAUAGCUGCUUCAAUCUUCUAUGUAUCUUUCCUACUCCCAAGUAAAUCAUGAUAGAAGUCAAGGAAAGCCUUCAUCACCUCUGGAGAAUUAUGAACCCAAGUACCAUCUUCUUUCCUUAUGGUAUUUAUUAUGUUUUUGGUUCUUUUUAAUUUAAUACUCUGGUGAAAGAUUUUUGUGUUAUCAUCACCUUCUCUAAGCUAUAUGAUCUUGACUUUUUGACGGAGAAAGCUUGCAUAAUUCUUGUGAGCAACUCUAGAAGUUGUUGUGACUUCUUUUUCUUGAGUUCUAAGCCUCAUGUCCUUAGAGUGAUCAUGUAGCAAGUUUUUGAGCUUCAAGCAGUUGAUGAUGGAAGUGAGAAUAAACCACUGACACAUCACCAAAUAGAGAUUUAUUGAACUACUUAAACUCCUGCUUCGAUAUUUUGAGCCUACUGACCACUUGGAACAUCAUGCUUGCUGAUAUGUAUACUGCUGCCAGGUCUAUUGGACAACUUCCAUGAAUUGACUAUGCUGGCACCACAUAUUGAAAAAACGAAAAAGACUUUUUUUGUUUUCAUCUUUGUAGGACUUAAUGAGUAGAGGGCAUUGGUCAUAAUCUGUUGUUUCAUGUAAAAAACUGCCUUGAAGACUUAACUUCCAUCAUCUUGCAGCUUUGCAUACAUCUUUGCCCAUCCUUUACUCUAACAGGCUGGCCCAUCCUCUCUCCAAUGUUCAUUAUUACAUUGAAGUCUCCUAAAAUAAUCUAAGGCUUAUUAUGAAGAUUAAACCCCACCAACUCAUUCCACAUAGUCCUCCUUCCUUGCUUAUCAUUCAACCCAUAAACAAAUGUACAGUAAAACUCCUAGGGCAAACAUUGUUGGUGGUCAUACACCAUCCAGGACAAACAUUAAGGUAGAAAUCUCCUAGGGCAACAACUUUCACCUUAGUUUCAAGAAGACUAAACAGCCUAAUUUUAUGAGAAAUAAUGAUACUUCUCACCUCAUUUUGUUUCUUUCUGCUGUUUAGUCCUCUCACAUUCCAUGAAAGGAUGUUUUCCAUUCAUGUUAGGAGGCUCCCCCCCGCCCCCCCCUCACCAUGAACCACAUUGUUAUGCAACUCCCAUGUGUAUUACUCAGAUCAUCUGUAUUCUCAACCUCUUGCAAUACAUCAAAAGAGUUUCCCACUAACACUAGUUCCCUUGAUUGUUGUUGCACAAUUACAUGCCUAUGAGCCUCCUGGAACCCAGUUUGAUUUGGUUGUACCUUUUUCUUAGGUACCCACUUCUUCUAAACCACUGUAUGUUGUUGCUUCUUACAAUCAAUUACACAUGUCCAAUAUUAUGACAAAAUGAACAUUGCAAGGGAUUCCAUUCAUAAACUACAUAUUGUUUCUUUUGUGCACCCUUCUCAUCUUCAAAUUCAAUCCAUUAUGGGAACUUUUAUGUCAUAGUGACUUCUACCAUAACUCUUGCAUACUGCAGUCUAUCCUUACUAAUGGUGGCUUGAUCCAGCUUAAUCAACUUGCCUAUGUCUCCCACUAGUUUGGACAAACAUCUUUCCCUCUAAUAUUUCAAGUCAAGAGCAGGUGAAAUUGGUCUACAAAAUUCCUCAAAUUCAGGCAACAAUGGUCGAGAUUGAUGAUUACCUGAUGCAACUGCAUCCAAUCUACUAUGCGCUUUCUUCAUGAUUGUUAACCAAUCUGAUAAUUGCGCUUUCUCCUUAUGUUGAUUCUGCAAUUGUUCCAAAAAAGUUCUUGGAGAAAUGGGUUCCUCAAAUUCCUGGGUUUGAACUUGCAACAUAUCAAUUCCAUGAAGUUCUACUACAUAUUAGUGUUUUUGACUAGUGACAGGACUAGUCGGACUAGUGACAGGACUAGUCGGACCUUUCUUCUUCUCAUUCGAAUUACUCUUGCUUUGUGAUUUCUUCACUUUUUCCCUCCAGGUUUUCCUGCCAUGGCGACGGUGUAUGUUAAGGGUUUCUCUUAAUGUACACCGAGAGAGAAACCAAGGCGCGAAACUCCAUUCAAUUUAUUUUUGCUAAUAUGAACUUAUUAGAAUUUAUUUAAACUUAUCUAAACUUAUUAAAUAUUAUUAGUCAUUAUUAUACCUUAAUUAUAUGAACUUAUUAGACCUUA
Molecule: long non-coding RNA, 3509 nt
Organism: Beta vulgaris subsp. vulgaris (sugar beet)
Lineage: Eukaryota; Viridiplantae; Streptophyta; Magnoliopsida; Caryophyllales; Amaranthaceae
Exons: 2
Source: RefSeq, a predicted model, not a curated record